CUUUGUUUUGUUCUGAUACGCAAGAAACGAUCAUGGCUUGAAUCAGCUUCUAGGUAAUACAGCUAUAAUAUUCUGAGAUGCUAAGAGGUAGUUUCAAGAACUCCUAAUGCGACAUAUGUUUACCUCCAGCAUAAAAACAUACUCCUUUCGGGCGGAACAUCCCCGUAUGGCUAGCUUAGAAGAGUUCGACCAUAUCGCUUUCCAAAUCGUCCUUGUUUUUACGAGGUUAGCCCACACUUAAUAAACAGUACAUGGCUAACAAACCUGCCGGGCCCUCUUACAUGAUUGAAUUGGAAUUUAGGAGUUUUUUGUGGAAAAAGGAAAGCCGUAGAACACGUAGAAAAGCCCUCGACGCAAAGGAGAGAACCAACAAACAACUCAACUCUCACCGUCUCCUGUGGCAAACACAUGAUCAUUUUACAACAAGUCCAUUCCGUUCGAUUCAUAUGUCGUUUUAUUUCAUUCGUGGUUUAAAACUUUGUUUUUGACAUCUAGUUAUAUGCAGUAUGUAGCUGUAAAUUAUACUCUCUUAAAAGGUUACAGAAUAAUAUAACUCAUACAACUGUAACUGGUCCAAUCAGUCAAUCCGAAUGACUGAAAAAUGAUUCGAAUUUGACUGAGUAAGAUUUGCAUGCCAAUAAAUGAUAUGCAAGACUUUCUUCAACGUAACUUGUUCAGCACAGCGUUUAGUUUAUUAACUUUUAAGGCCUUGUUUCCAAUGCACUACCUACACCAUCCAACUUUGUUUACAAGCUAUAUAUUUUCAGUGUAAUCUACUCUACAAGUGGAGCUUAGAUAAGUAAAUAUCAAUACUGAGAGAGAAAAAAUCCAUUACCCAUGAGAUCCAGUGCCAAAAAAAAAAAACAUAUAGAAACAGAUAAAUGAUAGAAUACCACAUGCAAUGGAACAAUGACUUAAGAGCUCCGAGCAAACUGUAUCAGAUUAUUACUAAACAACAUUAAUCUCUUUUAUAUGAGCAAAACAUCUCA
Molecule: long non-coding RNA, 989 nt
Organism: Actinia tenebrosa (Australian red waratah sea anemone)
Lineage: Eukaryota; Metazoa; Cnidaria; Anthozoa; Actiniaria; Actiniidae
Source: RefSeq, a predicted model, not a curated record